RNAcentral lists this ribosomal RNA (492 nucleotides) under uncultured bacterium. RNAcentral's name for it is "partial 16S ribosomal RNA". It matches the Rfam family "Bacterial small subunit ribosomal RNA", at positions 29 to 507 of the family's 1533-position model. The record is from RNAcentral.
AGUGAACGCUGGCGGUAGGCCUAACACAUGCAAGUCGAACGGCAGCACAGUAAGAGCUUGCUCUUACGGGUGGCGAGUGGCGGACGGGUGAGGAAUACAUCGGAAUCUACUUUUUCGUGGGGGAUCACGUAGGGAAACUUACGCUAAUACCGCAUACGACCUACGGGUGAAAGCAGGGGAUCUUCGGACCUUGCGCGAUUGAAUGAGCCGAUGUCGGAUUAGCUAGUUGGCGGGGUAAAGGCCCACCAAGGCGACGAUCCGUAGCUGGUCUGAGAGGAUGAUCAGCCACACUGGAACUGAGACACGGUCCAGACUCCUACGGGAGGCAGCAGUGGGGAAUAUGAGACAAUGGGCGCAAGCCUGAUCCAGCCAGACCGCGUGGGUGAAGAAGGCCUUCGGGUUGUAAAGCCCUUUUGUUGGGAAAGAAAAGCAGCAGGUUAAUACCCCGCUGUUCUGACGGUACCCAAAGAAUAAGCACCGGCUAACUUCGUG